RNAcentral lists this ribosomal RNA (553 nucleotides) under uncultured archaeon. RNAcentral describes it as "bacterial SSU rRNA". It matches the Rfam family "Archaeal small subunit ribosomal RNA", at positions 326 to 879 of the family's 1478-position model. The record is from RNAcentral.
CGGGGUGCAGCAGGCGCGAAAACUCUACAAUGCAGGCAACUGCGAUAGGGGAACAUCGAGUGAUCCUCAUAUUGGGGGUCUGUCCACCCGUCUAAAAAACGGGUGUUAGCAAGGGCCGGGCAAGACCGGUGCCAGCCGCCGCGGUAAUACCGGCGGCUCGAGUGGUGGCCGAUAUUAUUGAGUCUAAAGGGUCCGUAGCCGGCUUUGCAAGUCUCUCGGGAAAUCCAGCGGCUUAACCGUUGGUCGUCCGGGGGGUACUACAUUGCUUGGGACUGGGAGAGGUAGGAGGUACUCAGGGGGUAGGAGUGAAAUCCUGUAAUCCUUUGGGGACCACCGGUGGCGAAGGCGUCCUACCAGAACAGGUCCGACGGUGAGGGACGAAAGCUAGGGGCACGAACCGGAUUAGAUACCCGGGUAGUCCUAGCCGUAAACGAUGCUCGCUAGGUGUCACAACAGUCGUGAACUGUUGUGGUGCCGUAGGGAAGCCGUGAAGCGAGCCACUUGGGAAGUACGACCGCAAGGUUGAAACUUAAAGGAAUUGGCGGGGGAGCAC